AGGAGAGUAGGCUAUAGGAGGGCUAAGGGACAUGGUUGUAUGCAUCAAGAUGAUGAAAAGCUUGUUUUUCUUUUUUAUUUUUUUUAAAUUUUUUUUGUGAGGUAAAUUGAUGAUUGUCGUUUAUUUUUGCAUUUGGUGGACCCAAAUUAAUUAAAAUAAUUUUUUUAGCUAUUGUUAUUUCAUAUUGAUAAUAUGUAUAGCAUAAUCAAUAAUGAGUAAAAUUAUUUUUCUAAUCUUGUAGCACAUAUUUAAUUUGUACAUAAUUAAUUUAUUUCUUUAAUAAUUUAUAUAUUAAAUUUUGAUUUUAAUUCAAAUAUGUUUUGACACAUAUAUUUUAUAUAAAAUUUAAUAAUUAUUCAAUAUAAGUUGUUUUUAAGAGAAAAUUAAGUUUUUUU
RNAcentral lists this long non-coding RNA (395 nucleotides) under Manihot esculenta (cassava). RNAcentral describes it as "long non-coding RNA (MESC_LNC004272)". The record is from RNAcentral. Lineage: Eukaryota; Viridiplantae; Streptophyta; Magnoliopsida; Malpighiales; Euphorbiaceae.